GAUUCCCUAGUAACUGCGAGUGAAGCGGGAAAAGCUCAAAUUUUGAAUCUGGCGGUCCGUUUGUUUGGCCUUCCGAAUUGUAAUCUGUAUUCCCGUCUUCCCCGCUGGACCGUGCCCUGGUCUCCGGGAAGGGAGCAGCUGAAAAGGUGAGAAUCCCGUCUUUGACACCGACCUCCGUGGCUUAUGUGUUGCGCUCUCAACAAGUCGGGUUGUUUGGGAAUGCUGCUCGGAAUGGGUGGUAAAUUCCUUCUAAAGCUGAAUACAGCCAAGACACCCAUAUUGAACGAGUACCGUAAGGGAAACAUCUUAAAAACUUUGUUAAGAGAGUUUAACAUUACCUGAAAUUGCUCAAAGGGAAUCGCUUGAUGUCCUUUCGCGUUGAUUAGGGGUCUACCUUUUCUGUGUAAUUCCUACUUGACGGGUCAGCUUCGUUUUCUGUCACCGUACUAUGGCGGGGGGAAAGUCCCACUUUGUUUAAUGUCUUAUAGAUCCUCAUCAGAUGCUCGCCGUUGGAACUGAGGAAGCUCGCUCGGAUUCUCUUUUGUGUAAUGGAUGCUGGCGAUAUGGCAUUAAUCGACCCAUCUUGAACCUCUGACAACAGAGUCUAACGUGUCUGCGAGUGUUUGGAUUUGUUA
This 635-nucleotide ribosomal RNA is filed under the name Octaviania depauperata. Its description in RNAcentral is "eukaryotic LSU rRNA". It matches the Rfam family "Eukaryotic large subunit ribosomal RNA", at positions 73 to 705 of the family's 3401-position model. Lineage: Eukaryota; Fungi; Basidiomycota; Agaricomycetes; Boletales; Boletaceae. The record is from RNAcentral.